AAUAAGUGUUUUAUGGCACUUUAAAAAAAUCCAUAUCCACCUUGUGUGAAAUGUCUGUCGCUUGCUAGCUUUCUUUCUUCGGAAAGAGAAGAGGCGACUCUACAUCAACUCAUUUUAAAUACUUUGUCUGAAAACUAUUAUGAAUAAACUAAUUCAAAAUACAACUUUCAACAACGGAUCUCUUGGCUCU
This 190-nucleotide unclassified non-coding RNA is filed under the name rhizosphere metagenome. Its description in RNAcentral is "partial ribosomal RNA internal transcribed spacer region". The record is from RNAcentral.